GCUGAGUAACACGUCGGUAACCUACCCUCGGGAGGGGGAUAACCCCGGGAAACUGGGGCUAAUCCCCCAUAGGCCUGAGGUACUGGAAGGUCCUCAGGCCGAAAGGGGCUUUUGCCCGCCCGAGGAUGGGCCGGCGGCCGAUUAGGUAGUUGGUGGGGUAACGGCCCACCAAGCCGAAGAUCGGUACGGGCCAUGAGAGUGGGAGCCCGGAGAUGGACACUGAGACACGGGUCCAGGCCCUACGGGGCGCAGCAGGCGCGAAACCUCCGCAAUGCGGGAAACCGCGACGGGGGGACCCCCAGUGCCGUGGCAUCGCCACGGCUUUUCCGGAGUGUAAAAAGCUCCGGGAAUAAGGGCUGGGCAAGGCCGGUGGCAGCCGCCGCGGUAAUACCGGCGGCCCAAGUGGUGGCCGCUAUUAUUGGGCCUAAAGCGUCCGUAGCCGGGCCCGUAAGUCCCUGGCGAAAUCCCACGGCUCAACCGUGGGGCUUGCUGGGGAUACUGCGGGCCUUGGGACCGGGAGAGGCCGGGGGUACCCCUGGGGUAGGGGUGAAAUCCUGUAAUCCCAGGGGGACCGCCAGUGGCGAAGGCGCCCGGCUGGAACGGGUCCGACGGUGAGGGACGAAGGCCAGGGGAGCGAACCGGAUUAGAUACCCGGGUAGUCCUGGCUGUAAAGGAUGCGGGCUAGGUGUCGGGCGAGCUUCGAGCUCGCCCGGUGCCGAAGGGAAGCCGUUAAGCCCGCCGCCUGGGGAGUACGGCCGCAAGGCUGAAACUUAAAGGAAUUGGCGGGGGAGCACUACAAGGGGUGGAGCGUGCGGUUUAAUUGGAUUCAACGCCGGGAACCUCACCGGGGGCGACGGCAGGAUGAAGGCCAGGCUGAAGGUCUUGCCGGACGCGCCGAGAGGAGGUGCAUGGCCGCCGUCAGCUCGUACCGUGAGGCGUCCACUUAAGUGUGGUAACGAGCGAGACCCGCGCCCCCAGUUGCCAGUCCUCCCCGCUGGGGAGGAGGCACUCUGGGGGGACCGCCGGCGAUAAGCCGGAGGAAGGAGCGGGCGACGGUAGGUCAGUAUGCCCCGAAACCCCCGGGCUACACGCGCGCUACAAUGGGCGGGACAAUGGGAUCCGACCCCGAAAGGGGAAGGGAAUCCCCUAAACCCGCCCUCAGUUCGGAUCGCGGGCUGCAACUCGCCCGCGUGAAGCUGGAAUCCCUAGUACCCGCGUGUCAUCAUCGCGCGGCGAAUACGUCCCUGCUCCUUGCACACACCGCCCGUC
This 1269-nucleotide ribosomal RNA is filed under the name Thermococcus guaymasensis. Its description in RNAcentral is "16S ribosomal RNA". It matches the Rfam family "Archaeal small subunit ribosomal RNA", at positions 88 to 1354 of the family's 1478-position model. The record is from RNAcentral. Lineage: Archaea; Methanobacteriati; Methanobacteriota; Thermococci; Thermococcales; Thermococcaceae.